UUUAUAAAGAUUGUUUUAUUGUUGUGGUUAAGCGUCGGACACUUUAUCUUUUAUCAUCCUUUACAAUUUUUUUUUUCAGGUUGAUGCUGCUCUUGAUAGAAAUCAGUUCGGGAGGGAAUGCUAAUAAGCUGGUUGGUGUCACGUGUGAAUACCGCAUGAGAUGAAUCCUAACUGUUUUGAAGGACAAUCUUUCGGCAAUGUAUUUCAUUUUCUGGAUGCUAGCUUCAGAGAUCUGGAAACUGGGAAGGAAAACUCGUUUGGUAAUGAUUUCCGGAAUUUUGAUCUUCCAGACAAAUUUAUUAAUAGAACCAUAGACCAUAACAGAAUGAUGCAGAGAGUAUGUGAGUACGUGAGAGAUCUUGAUUAUUAACAGGGGUCUUUUAAACGCACAUUUUUCUGGCAGAGCUCAUAUUUUGUACAACACUUCUCCAAAAU
Neltuma alba is the source of this 435-nucleotide long non-coding RNA. RefSeq lists it as uncharacterized. The record is from RefSeq and is a predicted model, not a curated record. Lineage: Eukaryota; Viridiplantae; Streptophyta; Magnoliopsida; Fabales; Fabaceae. The transcript has 6 exons.